Long non-coding RNA from Photinus pyralis (common eastern firefly), 885 nucleotides. RefSeq lists it as uncharacterized. The transcript has 2 exons. Lineage: Eukaryota; Metazoa; Arthropoda; Insecta; Coleoptera; Lampyridae. The record is from RefSeq and is a predicted model, not a curated record.
AUCUAUCAAUACUUAUAGAGUACCUACCUAUACUUGAUUGCUCGAUGCCCAUGUAAUAUCUCACGCGUUUUGGUACAGAAUAUGCUUCCGAUCAUGUUGCAAUGUUAAUAUGCACGUAGCUACUGUCAUUGAUUAUACAAUAAUCAAUGCUACUGUGUAAUGUCAUGAACUAAUUAUGGCAUUGAAUAAGUAAUCAUAGGACUUAUUCAAUGUCUAUGGUAAUACCACAGAUAUAUUCCUUACGUACGAGUAUAUCUGUGGUAAUACCAAUCACCAAAGAGUAGAAUACCCAUACUCUUUUGUAAUACAUUUGCAAGGAACGCAUAAGGAUGUGUAUUGUUGGUGGUCUAUAACCAAUUGCAAUAUCAAAAUCUAAAUUGACUACAGAAUGAAGUACGAUAAGUUGAAUAACCAAAACUUUUCGUGGUUUGAAACGUUUGAAAUGUUUAUUUUUUAAUAUACAGUAAGUUUAAGCAAAGAGUAAAUUAUGGUUACUCUUUGGUUUAAGGUCCAACGAAGUCUAGAGACUUAUCUGUUGGUGCCUUAUUAUAUUAUGUACAUUGUGUAACUCCUACUUAUUUUACAUUUUUCUAGCGUCGUUGGAGUUCGGUGCAAUGUUGAAAACAAAUUCUACAAAUUGCAUGGAUGCGUUUUGUUUAAAUGCUCUCCAAUUUCUUUUAUGUGUACUGCUUCUGCUGAUCCCCAAACUUGAAUUCCAUACCGUAUAUGCGACUCAACCAGUGAUUUAUAAACUAUUAUUAACAUUUUAGUAUCAACAUCCUACCGUUCUUUUUAAUUUACUACAUAUAUUAUUUAUGUGUGUGUCGUAUUUUAAUAGUUUGUAUUAUUUUACAAUUGCAAUAAAUGGAUUGUGUAUAACAUGUG